Molecule: ribosomal RNA, 550 nt
Filed under: Pixodarus nyassae
Lineage: Eukaryota; Metazoa; Arthropoda; Insecta; Coleoptera; Cerambycidae
Description: partial 16S ribosomal RNA
Source: RNAcentral
UAAAAAUAGGUUAUUUAUUUAAUUUUCUCGAAUUCAGAAGAGCUAUUUAUUUAUAUAUUUUAUUGUUGAAUAAAUAUUUUUAAUAAGUAAAUAGUAAUGAAACGUUAUUCGUUUCUGACGAUAUCUAGUUUUUUAAGAAACGAAUUUAAUUCGGUCAGUUUAAUUAACUUUCUUUAUGAAUAGAAAUUUAAUUUUUCUGGUAAAUUCUUAAGGGGACGAGCUUUUAGGAAUAUUAUUAUAAAUAAGGUUUAUUUUUCGUGGUUAAUAGGAUUAGAAGCUUUCAUUUUUAAAAGGACGUUAUAGUUUGCGUUUGAUUUUUGUAUUAUUUAUAUUUUAUUUUAAUUUUUUUAUUAAAAUUUAUUUUUUAAUUUAAUUUGAUUAGUAAUAAUGAUUUAAUUAGUAUAAUUUAUUGUAUUUAUACAAGUAAAGUUUAAGGUUAAGCUAAGGAAUUCGGCAAAAGAUUUUUCACCUGUUUAUUAAAAACAUGGCCUUUUGAUAAUAAUUUAAGGUCUAGCCUGCCCACUGAGGGGUUAAAGGGCCGCGGUAACCU